UCGAACGAGAAAGUGGAGCAAUCCAUGAGUAAAGUGGCGCACGGGUGAGUAACACGUGACUAACCUACCCUCGAGUGGGGGAUAACCUGGGGAAACCUUGGCUAAUACCGCAUAACACCUACGGGUCAAAGGAGCAAUUCGCUUAAGGAGGGGGUCGCGGCAGAUUAGUUAGUUGGCGGGGUAAUGGCCCACCAAGACAGUGAUCUGUAUCCGGCCUGAGAGGGCGCACGGACACACUGGAACUGAAACACGGUCCAGACUCCUACGGGAGGCAGCAGUGGGGAAUUUUGCGCAAUGGGGGAAACCCUGACGCAGCAACGCCGCGUGGAGGAUGAAGUCCCUUGGGACGUAAACUCCUUUCGACCGGGACGAUUAUGACGGUACCGGAAGAAGAAGCCCCGGCUAACUUCGUGCCAGCAGCCGCGGUAAUACGAGGGGGGCGAGCGUUGUUCGGAAUUAUUGGGCGUAAAGGGUGCGUAGGCGGUUCGGUAAGUUUUGUGUGAAAUCUUCGGGCUCAACUCGAAGCCUGCACAAAAUACUGCCGGGCUUGAGUGUGGGAGAGGUGAGUGGAAUUUCCGGUGUAGCGGUGAAAUGCGUAGAUAUCGGAAGGAACACCUGUGGCGAAAGCGGCUCACUGGACCACAACUGACGCUGAUGCACGAAAGCUAGGGGAGCAAACAGGAUUAGAUACCCUGGUAGUCCUAGCCCUAAACGAUGAUCGCUUGGUGUGACGGGUACCCAAUCCCGCCGUGCCGAAGCUAACGCGUUAAGCGAU
Molecule: ribosomal RNA, 775 nt
Filed under: uncultured bacterium
Lineage: Bacteria
Description: bacterial SSU rRNA
Rfam family: Bacterial small subunit ribosomal RNA
Source: RNAcentral